GAGGAUGUAGCUCAUUGGUAGAGUGCGUGCUUAGCAUGCAUGAGGUUCUGGGUUCAAUCCCCAGUACCUCCA
This 72-nucleotide transfer RNA is filed under the name Camelus dromedarius (Arabian camel). It matches the Rfam family "tRNA". From Rfam's summary of the family: Transfer RNA (tRNA) molecules are approximately 80 nucleotides in length. Their secondary structure includes four short double-helical elements and three loops (D, anti-codon, and T loops). Further hydrogen bonds mediate the characteristic L-shaped molecular structure. tRNAs have two regions of fundamental functional importance: the anti-codon, which is responsible for specific mRNA codon recognition, and the 3' end, to which the tRNAs corresponding amino acid is attached (by aminoacyl-tRNA synthetases). tRNAs cope with the degeneracy of the genetic code in two manners: having more than one tRNA (with a specific anti-codon) for a particular amino acid; and 'wobble' base-pairing, i.e. permitting non-standard base-pairing at the 3rd anti-codon position. RNAcentral also lists the same sequence under 1 other name. The record is from Rfam by way of RNAcentral. Lineage: Eukaryota; Metazoa; Chordata; Mammalia; Artiodactyla; Camelidae.